RNAcentral lists this ribosomal RNA (547 nucleotides) under uncultured bacterium. RNAcentral describes it as "partial 16S ribosomal RNA". It matches the Rfam family "Bacterial small subunit ribosomal RNA", at positions 355 to 895 of the family's 1533-position model. The record is from RNAcentral.
UGGGGAAUUUUGGACAAUGGGCGCAAGCCUGAUCCAGCCAUGCCGCGUGCGGGAAGAAGGCCUUCGGGUUGUAAACCGCUUUUGUCAGGGAAGAAAUCUUCUGAGUUAAUACCUCGGGAGGAUGACGGUACCUGAGGAAUAAGCACCGGCUAACUACGUGCCAGCAGCCGCGGUAAUACGUAGGGUGCAAGCGUUAAUCGGAAUUACUGGGCGUAAAGCGUGCGCAGGCGGUUUUGUAAGACAGAGGUGAAAUCCCCGGGCUCAACCUGGGAACUGCCUUUGUGACUGCAAGGCUUGAGUGCGGCAGAGGGGGAUGGAAUUCCGCGUGUAGCAGUGAAACGCGUAGAUAUGCGGAGGAACACCGAUGGCGAAGGCAAUCCCCUGGGCCUGCACUGACGCUCAUGCACGAAAGCGUGGGGAGCAAACAGGAUUAGAUACCCUGGUAGUCCACGCCCUAAACGAUGUCAACUGGUUGUUGGGAAGGUUCCUUCUCAGUAACGUAGCUAACGCGUGAAGUUGACCGCCUGGGGAGUACGGCCGCAAGGUU